This 664-nucleotide ribosomal RNA is filed under the name uncultured bacterium. RNAcentral describes it as "bacterial SSU rRNA". It matches the Rfam family "Bacterial small subunit ribosomal RNA", at positions 171 to 863 of the family's 1533-position model. The record is from RNAcentral.
GCAUAAGCUCACGCAAGCGAGGAAAACCUUGGUGCCUUGGGAGGGGCCCGCGGCCUAUCAGGUAGUUGGUGAGGUAACGGCUCACCAAGCCGACGACGGGUAGGGGGCGUGAGAGCGUGGCCCCCCACACGGGAACUGAGACACGGUCCCGACGCCUACGGGCGGCAGCAGUGAGGAAUCUUGCCCAAUGGGGGAAACCCUGAGGCAGCGACACCGCGUGCGGGAUGAAGGCCUUCGGGUCGUAAACCGCUUUUCUGGGGGACGAGUAAGGACGGUACUCCAGGAAUAAGUCCCGGCUAACUACGUGCCAGCAGCCGCGGUAAAACGUAGGGGGCGAGCGUUAUCCGGAAUCACUGGGCGUAAAGGGCGUCUAGGCGGCAGCCUAAGUCCCGUGUGAAAGCUCCCGGCUCAACUGGGAGAGGGCAUGGGAGACUGGGCAGCUAGAGACUCGGAGGGGGGUGUGGAAUUCCCGGUGGAGUGGUGGAAUGCGUUGAGAUCGGGAGGAACACCAGUAGCGAAGGCGGCACCCUGGCCGAGAUCUGACGCUGAAGCGCGAGAGCGUGGGGAGCGAACGGGAUUAGAUACCCCGGUAGUCCACGCCGUAAACGAUGACAACUAGGUGUUGGGUGUCCAAGGAUGCUCAGUACCGCAGCAAACGCGAUAA